Chiloscyllium plagiosum (whitespotted bambooshark) is the source of this 1195-nucleotide non-coding RNA. NCBI's taxonomy places the organism in Eukaryota, Metazoa, Chordata, Chondrichthyes, Orectolobiformes, Hemiscylliidae. The record is from RefSeq and is a predicted model, not a curated record.
AAGAGGCCGCCUGUGACACCAGAUAAAAGAGCUGAGCCAACUGUUAAGUCUCUGUAGUGCCUGCCUGGGCAGCAUCAAAGGGAGCAUUCGCGUGGGAUAUAAUAAACAAGGAAGAACAUUCAUUUUAACCAGAGCUAUUCUACCCAACCAGGAUAUCGGAAGAUCCUCUCAGCACUGAAGGUCGUUGACCUGCUCUACUCAGGCCCGUACCUGCCAUUCCAGGGCCUGGACCUGGCCCUCUGAAGAUUCCACCGCACUCUUGGCAGCUGCAGCUCACUGCUCCACCUCCAUGACUUGCCUUCCGAGACGCUGGGUCUCCUGGUCAUGCGUCUGCAGCUUGGCCGUUAUCAGUUCCAUCCUGGUCCGGGUCACCUCUAUCGCUGAAUUGGUCUUUUCUCGGAGUUUCACGAACUCUGAGACCAGGUUCUACUCCACAGGUGGAAUGUGGGAAGUUUACACAGCCAUUUCCUUGCUAUUCAGGAAUGAUUUACAUUUUCAUUCAGAAAUCAAGAACAUUACAGUUGGAAUUUGACUACACCUUAUAGUUACAAAAAUCUAUCUGCAACAGAUUUGACCAAUAAGGGAUGAUUUGCAUUUCAUUGUUUCUGGAGGUGGGGUGGUCGCUGCAUUGUGUCGAGUGGCAUGUGACUGUGAGGGAGUGGCCAGAGUAUCUAUAAGCAUUGCAACUCACCUGUAUAAAGGGGAUGUGUUUUGUUUGUUCAGUGCCUCACUUUGAUUCAACCUCGCAUGGCUGCAAGGGAGGUCAAAGGUGGUCACCUUGCUUGUACAAGCUUUAAUAAACUUUAACUGUUGUCUUUAUUCAGAGGGAGCUUUUGCCACAACCCUGUAAGGUGUGUGUUAAAGGUUCCUCCAGAGAGACCCCUGGACACAACCUGCAAGCAUGGUGAAGAGUGUUCAGGGUUUCUUCAAAGCUUGUACUGUUCUGUGUUCAAUAAAAUUUGGUUGCUUGUCCAGAAGUUGGUGUGUUGCAGUUGCAUCAAGUGUGCAAGAACCUCAAGAGUAAAAGAAUCUAACACUCCCAGGACACAAACGUACUUGUAGUUUGACAGAGGCCAUCAUUGCAAAGACAGGGUAUAAGUAUGGAAAUAUUAAAGUGUUGCCCUGUUGGAACUGAGUAUAUUAUUUAGACUGAUGUGGAUUACUGCACUCCAUGUCAGUGGACACCCACCCAAUG